CAAGAGCAGCAGGUCUGCAUUUCCCUUUUUGCUGCAGGCUGGACACAGUUCCCCAUAGGUACCCCAAGAACAGUGCUCUGCUCCUGCAGGAGACAAAAUGAAACUUGGAUACAGGAGCUACUUUUGAAGACUGGGAAGAGCACCGUUUGGUGCUGUGCAUUCUUGCUGGGCAGCUCCUGUGUGCUCCAGGGCAGAUCCUGCCCAACCAGUAAGUCUGCACAUCUCUGAUUUUCAGAGGUGCAGAGGCUUGAACUUGCUGUUUGGUGUUCCUGCAGCUCUUUGUGGGGCUUUUUGGCUUGGUAUUAAAAGCUAGCCUUGCAGGCAGGACUGUGCCAGGCAGUUGUUGAAGCCCUGCGCCUGCCAAGCUCAGGAGGGUGAUUUUGGCAGCAGCCCGCAGGAACUGCCCUGCGCUAAGGCUGCCGUGUUCGAGCCGCGCCGAGAGCACUUCGAGAACCGCAGCCCUCGGUGCUUCAGCUCCGGCUGCUCUGCUCCCCCCUUCCCUGGCAGCUCAGCUCGCCGCUUUACGCUCCUGAUCCCCGCAGCCGGCUGGAAUAGCAUGUAAAUGAUGUUUCAUCGCAUUAAUGAAAUAAAUGCAGUGCGGGGCCGCACUGCAGUCUCCUGGCAGGAAACACAGGCUGACCCUGCGGCGCGCUGGGAAGUGGGAUGCGGAUCAGCCCUCUCCGCCAGCGGCGGUGCUCGCCCUUUAAGAAAAAGCCUGCAGUAAUUUUCCAUUACCCUGCACGGUCUUGUCGACGUGGCAGGAAUUGUUUGUGGAGGCUGGAGCAUCGCGGGUGAGGCGAAAGCCCCAAUCCGGCUGCGGUUGCCUGGCUACGCGCUCGGCAUGCCGGCCGCACGCCAGGCUCCUGGGAAGUACCUUUGUUCCCGAGAAGGGAUUUGAGUUGUGUUUUCACGCCGAAAGCUGGGGACAAAUGCUGCUUUUCUCAAGCAGCCUGGCAGAACUGGGCUUUCCAAACAACACGAGCCAGCCAAAAUUCUCAGUAGUAAUAACAGCAAUAUGUGUGGAGUCCAUCUCUGGUGGUGGUUUCUCUUCCUUUGCACAAGGAAAUAUCUUUUAAUGACUUUGUGAUGUUUGUUUGCUGUUGCUCUGAUCAUAACAGUCACUUAAUCAAGCCAGAAAUACUGUCAGCAAAAUCCUCCCCCGCUCUUGUUCUUUCCAUCUAAUAAACCAGAUGGAUCGCUGUUGUUCUGCAACUUGAUAAGCAGGUUAAUUUUUUUUAUGUAAGCUCUGGAGUCCUGACAGGAGAGUAGUCUGAAAUGCCUAAAAUAUUUCAAAUGCUGCCAGCAGAAUCUGCAGCAGCAGGAGGAGUGGGUCUGCAUGGUGUCCCUGCUUGCUGGGGCUUAGCUUUAAGUAUGGCAGCAGCAUCAGUGCAACAGGCGUUUCCAUGAUGUCUCGAGCACGGCUUCAGCUCCAGGAUAGCUUAUUUUAUCUGUUUGAGGCUUGAUACUUGUCAUUAAUAAAAGUUCUGUGUUCUGCUA
Long non-coding RNA from Parus major (Great Tit), 1497 nucleotides. RefSeq lists it as uncharacterized. The record is from RefSeq and is a predicted model, not a curated record. NCBI's taxonomy places the organism in Eukaryota, Metazoa, Chordata, Aves, Passeriformes, Paridae. The transcript has 2 exons.